AACGCAUAUGGCACCUUUUGGUUUUUACUAAAAGGUAUGCCUGUUUGAGAAUCAUUUUAUUUAUCGUUUCCUUUUGGAUUCUCGAAUCCAUUUGGGGACCGCAAUUGGGCAUUCAUCAUUGAUAGCCUUGAAUUUAUGCACGAUUGUGUCGUGAUAAUUUUACGAAUUGCAUCGACCAAUCCCAAUCUAUCAUCUAAUGAUCUCAAAUCAGGCAAGAUUACCCGCUGAACUUAA
RNAcentral lists this unclassified non-coding RNA (234 nucleotides) under Sebacina sp. RNAcentral describes it as "partial contains 5.8S ribosomal RNA, internal transcribed spacer 2, and large subunit ribosomal RNA". The record is from RNAcentral. Lineage: Eukaryota; Fungi; Basidiomycota; Agaricomycetes; Sebacinales; Sebacinaceae.